Lathyrus oleraceus (garden pea) is the source of this 105-nucleotide small nucleolar RNA. NCBI's taxonomy places the organism in Eukaryota, Viridiplantae, Streptophyta, Magnoliopsida, Fabales, Fabaceae. The record is from RefSeq and is a predicted model, not a curated record.
AAAUCAUGAUGUGGGUAGAGUAUCAUCAUGUCCUUAUCUCUCACAUGCCUCAAAAAGGGAUUCACCGUCGGCCUGUCUAAAAUAGGUUAUCUGGUUUAUUAACAC